UACGUAGGCAGCAAGCGUUGUUCGGAGUUACUGGGCGUAAAGAGUGCGUAGGCGGUCCUCUAAGUUCGGUGUGAAAUCUCCCGGCUCAACUGGGAGGGUGCGCCGGAAACUGGAGGGCUUGAGUAUGGGAGAGGAAAGCGGAAUUCCUGGUGUAGCGGUGAAAUGCGUAGAUAUCAGGAGGAACACCUGUGGUGUAGACGGCUUUCUGGACCAUGACUGACGCUGAGGCACGAAAGCGUGGGGAGCAAACAGGAUUAGAUACCCUGGUAGUCCACGCCCUAAACGAUGCAUACUUGGUGUGGGCCGUUCAGUCGGUCUGUGCCGGAGCUAACGCGUUAAGUAUGCCGCCUGGGGAGUACGGUCGCAAGGCUGAA
This 374-nucleotide ribosomal RNA is filed under the name uncultured bacterium. RNAcentral's name for it is "bacterial SSU rRNA". It matches the Rfam family "Bacterial small subunit ribosomal RNA", at positions 524 to 898 of the family's 1533-position model. The record is from RNAcentral.